CUGUGUUCCUGAUCCAGGCAAGGGGAGAGACAAACACCUGAUAACUGGGAAAUGGUUUUCUCAGCUGUGCUUAAGGUUUACAGAAUGGGUGGAAUAUUUUGAUCCUGCUUUCUCUGUGAAUGCAGGGUGGUGGUGGACUCUUAGGACCAUGUGCACCACCAUCAUGUUUCUCUCUACUCUGGCUUUUGUACUGCGCCAGCAUUUCUUCAGCCGAAGUAAGACCUUUCCAAAAGGCUCGCGGGAGAAGGAGUCACCAUCGGUGGAGAGCAAAGACACUGACAAGUGACACUCACUUAAUGGACAUCCAACGCAGAGCUGGGUUUUAGAUGUGGAAGCCGUGCUCAGGUCCAUGGAAAGACAGCUGAAUUCUCUUCUGGAGAAAUGUCCUCAUUCGAAAUGUGGAAACAGCCCAGUGGUCCUCCAUCUCCUUUAAGCCACAGCAGGUCUCGCUCCAGUCAACAAGCUGAUCCGUAAAGUCAACUUUAGAUGCUUUUCAACUUUCUGACAGCAAAACGAAUCCCAUAUUUUGCCCCAAACAGUCACUUGGAGUAGACAGACUUUGAGCACCUCUUGUUGACGGUUUUCCUUUAUUCCAGCGACAAAGAGCCCACAGAAGUGUACGCUCUGUGCCACGAGCACCAAACCUGAUAUGAUUGGCAGCAUUGUUUGAGGUUUUUUUUGGCUUGCUAAAAUCCUUGUGCAAUAAUCUCUCCUUAAGUAGUUGUUUGACAUUACAGGGAGGAAAGCAAUUUCACACCCGGUUGUAUCAUUACUCAACUGUUCCAUAAGCGAUGAAAACCUGACGGUCUCUGGAAUGACUGAAAAACUUUCUGUCAUUA
Long non-coding RNA from Pelmatolapia mariae (spotted tilapia), 839 nucleotides. RefSeq lists it as uncharacterized. The record is from RefSeq and is a predicted model, not a curated record. The transcript is spliced from 4 exons. NCBI's taxonomy places the organism in Eukaryota, Metazoa, Chordata, Actinopteri, Cichliformes, Cichlidae.